CGGACCGGCGCACGGGUGAGUAACGCGUAUGCAACCUACCUAUCAGGAGGGGAUAACCCGGCGAAAGUCGGACUAAUACCGCAUAAAACAGGGGUUCCACAUGGAAAUAUUUGUUAAAGAAUUAUCGCUGAUAGAUGGGCAUGCGUUCCAUUAGAUAGUUGGUGAGGUAACGGCUCACCAAGUCUACGAUGGAUAGGGGUUCUGAGAGGAGGGUCCCCCACACUGGUACUGAGACACGGACCAG
This 244-nucleotide ribosomal RNA is filed under the name uncultured bacterium. Its description in RNAcentral is "partial 16S ribosomal RNA". It matches the Rfam family "Bacterial small subunit ribosomal RNA", at positions 91 to 334 of the family's 1533-position model. The record is from RNAcentral.